Molecule: ribosomal RNA, 236 nt
Filed under: uncultured bacterium
Lineage: Bacteria
Description: partial 16S ribosomal RNA
Rfam family: Bacterial small subunit ribosomal RNA
Source: RNAcentral
GUAACCUGCCUUAUAGUGGGGGAUAGCCUUUCGAAAGGAAGAUUAAUACCGCAUAAGAUUGUAGUAUCGCAUGAUAUAGCAAUUAAAGGAGCAAUCCGCUAUAAGAUGGACCCGCGUCGCAUUAGCUAGUUGGUGAGGUAAUGGCUCACCAAGGCGACGAUGCGUAGCCGACCUGAGAGGGUGAUCGGCCACAUUGGGACUGAGACACGGCCCAGACUCCUACGGGAGGCAGCAUG